This 365-nucleotide ribosomal RNA is filed under the name uncultured bacterium. RNAcentral describes it as "bacterial SSU rRNA". It matches the Rfam family "Bacterial small subunit ribosomal RNA", at positions 30 to 393 of the family's 1533-position model. The record is from RNAcentral.
AUUGAACGCUGGCGGCAUGCUUUACACAUGCAAGUCGAACGGUAACAGGCCUUCGGGCGCUGACGAGUGGCGAACGGGUGAGUAAUGCAUCGGAACGUGCCCAGAGGUGGGGGAUAACGCAGCGAAAGCUGUGCUAAUACCGCAUAUUAUCUGAGGAUGAAAGCGGGGGACUAAGCAGCAAUGUUUGGCCUCGCGCCUUUGGAGCGGCCGAUGUCAGAUUAGGUAGUUGUGGGGUAAAGGCUCACCAAGCCAACGAUCUGUAGCUGGUCUGAGAGGACGACCAGCCACACUGGAACUGAGACACGGCCCAGACUCCUACGGGAGGCAGCAGUGGGGAAUCCUUUGGACAAAUGGGCGGCGAGACG